This 253-nucleotide ribosomal RNA is filed under the name uncultured bacterium. RNAcentral's name for it is "partial 16S ribosomal RNA". It matches the Rfam family "Bacterial small subunit ribosomal RNA", at positions 524 to 776 of the family's 1533-position model. The record is from RNAcentral.
UACGGGGGGGGCAAGCGUUGUUCGGAAUUACUGGGCGUAAAGGGCCAGUAGGCGGCCAACUAAGUCCGACGUGAAAUCCCCAGGCUUAACCUGGGAACUGCGUCGGAUACUGGAUGGCUUGAAUUCGGGAGAGGGAUGCAGAAUUCCAGGUGUAGCGGUGAAAUGCGUAGAUAUCUGGAGGAAUACAGAUGGCGAAGGCAAUCCCCUGGACCUGUACUGACGCUCAUGCACGAAAGCGUGGGGAGCAAACAGG